Molecule: ribosomal RNA, 397 nt
Filed under: Protaspa sp.
Lineage: Eukaryota; Cercozoa; Thecofilosea; Cryomonadida; Protaspidae
Description: partial small subunit ribosomal RNA
Rfam family: Eukaryotic small subunit ribosomal RNA
Source: RNAcentral
AUUCCAGCUCCAAGAGCGUAUAUUAAAGUUGUUGCAGUUAAAAAGCUCGUAGUUGGAUUUCUGGUCUAAUGCGCCUGGCCCGCGGCAGUAAUGCCUGUGAGUGCCGGUGCGCGUUAACCAUCCUUCUAUAAAACGUUUCUACCAUUCACUUGGCUGGACUCGCGAUCUAGAUCUUUUACUUUGAAAAAAUUAGAGUGUUCAAAGCAGGCUUUUGCUGUGAAUACAUUAGCAUGGAAUAAUAAUCUAGGACUUCGGUUUUAUUUUGUUGGUUUCUAACACUGAAGUAAUGAUUGAUAGGGAUAGUUGGGGGUGCUAGUAUUGGCCGGCCAGAGGUGAAAUUCUUGGAUUCGGUCAAGACUAACUUAUGCGAAAGCAUUCACCAAGGAUGUCUUCAUUA